RNAcentral lists this ribosomal RNA (736 nucleotides) under uncultured eukaryote. Its description in RNAcentral is "SSU rRNA". It matches the Rfam family "Eukaryotic small subunit ribosomal RNA", at positions 672 to 1426 of the family's 1831-position model. The record is from RNAcentral.
GGCGUGUACUGCUUGGCUGGGCCUUACUUCUUGGUGAGCCGGCGUGCCCUUUAUUGGUGUGCGUCGGGGAACCAGGACUUUUACCUUGAGAAAAUUAGAGUGUUCAAAGCAGGCCUAUGCCUGAAUACAUUAGCAUGGAAUAAUAGAAUAGGACGUGCGGUUCUAUUUUGUUGGUUUCUAGAGUCGCCGUAAUGAUUAAUAGGGACAGUUGGGGGCAUUGGUAUUGAGUCGCUAGAGGUGAAAUUCUUGGAUUGACUCAAGACCGACUAUUGCGAAAGCAUUUGCCAAGGAUGUUUUCAUUAAUCAAGAACGAAGGUUAGGGGAUCGAAAACUAUCAGAUACCGUGGUAGUCUUAACAGUAAACUAUGCCGACUAGGGAUCGGAUGACCUCAAAAUUGAUGUGUCAUUCGGCACCUUACGAGAAAUCAAAGUCUUUGGGUUCUGGGGGGGAGUAUGGGUCGCAAGGGCUGAAACUUAAAGGAAUUGACGGAAGGGCACCACCAGGUGUGGAGCCUGCGGGCUUAAUUUGACUCAACACGGGGAAACUCACCAGGUCCAGACAUAACUAGGAUUGACAGAUUGAUAGCUCUUUCAUGAUUUUAUGGGUGGUGGUGCAUGGCCGUUCUUAGUUGGUGGAGUGAUUUGUCUGGUUAAUUCCGAUAACGAACGAGACCUUAACCUCCUAAAUAGCCAGGCCGCCUUCGGCUGGUCUCUGGCUUCUUAGAGGGACUGUCAG